GAGUUUGAUCUUGGCUCAGAUUGAACGCUGGCGGCAUGCCUUACACAUGCAAGUCGAGCGGCAGCGCGGGGGCAACCCUGGCGGCGAGCGGCGAACGGGUGAGUAAUACAUCGGAACGUGUCCAGUAGCGGGGGAUAACCUCUCGAAAGAGAGGCUAAUACCGCAUACGACCUACGGGUGAAAGCGGGGGACCGCAAGGCCUCGCACUAUUGGAGCGGCCGAUGUCGGAUUAGCUAGUUGGCGGGGUAAAAGCCCACCAAGGCGACGAUCCGUAGCUGGUCUGAGAGGACGAUCAGCCACACUGGAACUGAGACACGGUCCAGACUCCUACGGGAGGCAGCAGUGGGGAAUUUUGGACAAUGGGGGCAACCCUGAUCCAGCCAUGCCGCGUGAGUGAAGAAGGCCUUCGGUUGUAAG
Molecule: ribosomal RNA, 417 nt
Filed under: uncultured beta proteobacterium
Lineage: Bacteria; Pseudomonadati; Pseudomonadota; Betaproteobacteria
Description: bacterial SSU rRNA
Rfam family: Bacterial small subunit ribosomal RNA
Source: RNAcentral